ACGAACGCUGGCGGCGUGCUUAACACCUGCAAGUCGUACGGUAAGGCCCUUUCGGGGGUACACGAGUGGCGAACGGGUGAGUAACACGUGAGUAACCUGCCCACAACUUUGGGAUAACGCUAGGAAACUGGUGCUAAUACUGGAUAUGUGCUCCUGCUGCAUGGUGGGGGUUGGAAAGCUCCGGCGGUUGUGGAUGGACUCGCGGCCUAUCAGCUUGUUGGUGGGGUAGUGGCCUACCAAGGCGGCGACGGGUAGCCGGCCUGAGAGGGUGACCGGCCACAUUGGGACUGAGAUACGGCCCAGACUCCUACGGGAGGCAGCAGUGGGGAAUAUUGCACAAUGGGCGCAAGCCUGAUGCAGCAACGCCGCGUGCGGGAUGACGGCCUUCGUGUUGUAAACCGCUUUCAGCAGGGACGAAGCUUUUUGUGACGGUACCUGCAGAAGAAGCACCGGCUAACUACGUG
Molecule: ribosomal RNA, 464 nt
Filed under: uncultured bacterium
Lineage: Bacteria
Description: partial 16S ribosomal RNA
Rfam family: Bacterial small subunit ribosomal RNA
Source: RNAcentral